GGAUGUGAAAACAUACUGAGCACACUGUCAACAUGGCUUUCAGAGAGCUGAGACUCUUGGUGGUUGUCCUGUUUGUUUCAACUGGUGCUGAAGGUUGGACCAUAACCGAGUCUGAACCAGCAGUUAAAAGACCUGGAGAGUCCCACAGACUCACCUGUACAACAUCUGGGUUAUCAUUCAGCAGCAGCUGGAUGGCCUGGAUCAGACAGGCUCCUGGAAAAGGACUGGAGUGGAUUGCUACUGAUACUAAUGGUGGCAGCAACCGCUACUCUCAGUCAGUCCAAGGCCGGUUUACCAUCUCCAGAGACAACAGCAGAGAGCAGGUGUAUCUGCAGAUGAACAGUCUGAAGACUGAAGAUUCUGCUGUUUAUUAUUGUGCUCGACAGCCACAGUGACUGGAGUUGGUUGAGCAGCUGAACAAAAUCCU
Non-coding RNA from Lates calcarifer (barramundi perch), 427 nucleotides. The record is from the annotation of a RefSeq genome assembly. NCBI's taxonomy places the organism in Eukaryota, Metazoa, Chordata, Actinopteri, Centropomidae.